AAGAAUGAAAAAGGCAAACAAGCCCCAAGCACCUACCGCCAGGCCGCCGCCGCCUCCCGGGCCAGAUCUGCGGGAUAAGCCCAAAUCCAGAGCAGGGCAGAGACCCGGGCCCCUGGAGCCCCCGAAGCCAGUUUGCAGCGCGGGCCGAUGGAAAACGCCUCGGAUGCAGGUGAGUCUCCAUCAGACAUCGGAAAGGUCAGAGUUGCCCCAGCAGGUCUCGGAAGGUUGAGCGCUGCGCUGUGGAGCGAGGCUAAUGUCCCUGAUCCAUUAUUCCUGCUCAGGCCCCUUUCAUUUCGAAACUGAGCCACGUCCCCCUUCCGAAGGAGCAGAGCAGAUACAUAAGAUCCCCAUGCACAGUGCGAUCAGUCCGUUCCCCAUCUCACUGCCUGGCGUAGCUGUCGGGACUUCCUUCUGCUCCAAGGACUUUGGGGAUGGCUGGCAAACAGGUGGGAGGGAGGAAUGGAUGUGUGUCAUCGCCCGGCUCUGACAAUGGAAAGAAAACACAAAGCCUGUUGUCAAAUCCUGUUUCCACAAGCGCUGAGCUGCACUAAUUUCUGCUGGGUGACCUUGGCCUAGGCACCCUAUGCCGUGCUGGGAGAAGGAAAACCCGGAGCCGAUCUGCAGCCCCAAUCUCUGCAGCCCUCUCAGCUCCGGAGCGGGGCCAGGGCGGGGAACAAAAGGAAAAUAAUGUAACUAACACAAAAGAUACACAUCAAAACAACACAAGCGGAUCUCUGCAAUAAACAGCAGGGUUCCCCCA
Molecule: long non-coding RNA, 760 nt
Filed under: Chrysemys picta bellii (western painted turtle)
Lineage: Eukaryota; Metazoa; Chordata; Testudines; Emydidae
Description: lncRNA (ENSCPBG00000010427.1)
Source: RNAcentral